Molecule: ribosomal RNA, 746 nt
Filed under: Escherichia coli
Lineage: Bacteria; Pseudomonadati; Pseudomonadota; Gammaproteobacteria; Enterobacterales; Enterobacteriaceae
Description: partial 23S ribosomal RNA
Rfam family: Bacterial large subunit ribosomal RNA
Source: RNAcentral
AUACCACCCUUUAAUGUUUGAUGUUCUAACGUGGGCCCCUUACCGGGGUUGCGGACAGUGUCUGGUGGGUAGUUUGACUGGGGCGGUCUCCUCCUAAAGAGUAACGGAGGAGCACGAAGGUUGGCUAAUCCUGGUCGGACAUCAGGAGGUUAGUGCAAUGGCAUAAGCCAGCUUGACUGCGAGCGUGACGGCGCGAGCAGGUGCGAAAGCAGGUCAUAGUGAUCCGGUGGUUCUGAAUGGAAGGGCCAUCGCUCAACGGAUAAAAGGUACUCCGGGGAUAACAGGCUGAUACCGCCCAAGAGUUCAUAUCGACGGCGGUGUUUGGCACCUCGAUGUCGGCUCAUCACAUCCUGGGGCUGAAGUAGGUCCCAAGGGUAUGGCUGUUCGCCAUUUAAAGUGGUACGCGAGCUGGGUUUAGAACGUCGUGAGACAGUUCGGUCCCUAUCUGCCGUGGGCGCUGGAGAACUGAGGGGGGCUGCUCCUAGUACGAGAGGACCGGAGUGGACGCAUCACUGGUGUUCGGGUUGUCAUGCCAAUGGCACUGCCCGGUAGCUAAAUGCGGAAGAGAUAAGUGCUGAAAGCAUCUAAGCACGAAACUUGCCCCGAGAUGAGUUCUCCCUGACUCCUUGAGAGUCCUGAAGGAACGUUGAAGACGACGACGUUGAUAGGCCGGGUGUGUAAGCGCAGCGAUGCGUUGAGCUAACCGGUACUAAUGAACCGUGAGGCUUAACCUUACAACGCCGAAG